UAUAAGUGUUUUAUGGCACUUUUUAAUCCAUAUCCACCUUGUGUGCAAUGUUCGGUCGAUAUCUUCUUUUUUUGAGGAUCGACCAAACAUCAACCUUUAUUUUUUAACUCUUUGUCUGAAAAAUAUUAUGAAUAAACAAUUCAAAAUA
RNAcentral lists this unclassified non-coding RNA (148 nucleotides) under soil metagenome. Its description in RNAcentral is "partial internal transcribed spacer 1". The record is from RNAcentral.